ACCUGAGUAGUUUAAUUAAAAUACAAGUUUGUGGUGCUUGAGAUGUGAUAGUGUUCACUUUGGGUA
This 66-nucleotide transfer RNA is filed under the name Metacarcinus magister (Dungeness crab). RNAcentral's name for it is "tRNA-His". Lineage: Eukaryota; Metazoa; Arthropoda; Malacostraca; Decapoda; Cancridae. The record is from RNAcentral.